This 384-nucleotide long non-coding RNA is filed under the name Zostera marina. Its description in RNAcentral is "long non-coding RNA (ZMAR_LNC000771)". Lineage: Eukaryota; Viridiplantae; Streptophyta; Magnoliopsida; Alismatales; Zosteraceae. The record is from RNAcentral.
AGAAGAUAUGAGUUGAGGGUAGAGGUCCCCCAAGGACCCCUUUUAUAGGGUCUUGGGGGACGUUUUCCCCAUUCAUUUGUGUGGGGCCCACGCCAUUAAGGUAUCCUAUUAAGGAAUGCCCUAAUGGCGAGGGUCCGCUCAAGUAACGGCUGGGAGUCGGCGAUUCAGGUAUGGGAAUCGCCGAUCCAGAGGUUCAAUCGCCGACUCCCCAUGAGCCUAGUGGCAGCCUACCAGAGCUGUCCACGAGGCUUAGAGUUAGCGAUUCCCCCCUGGAGUCGGUGACUUGGUAUUCCAAAUCGGCGACUCCCAAGUGUUAGCUUGAGCUCUUGACGUAGACACGUGCUCCGCACCGUGGAAGCCUUUCCGGGGGUCCGACAUAUAGCG